Molecule: ribosomal RNA, 253 nt
Filed under: uncultured bacterium
Lineage: Bacteria
Description: partial 16S ribosomal RNA
Rfam family: Bacterial small subunit ribosomal RNA
Source: RNAcentral
UACAGAGGUCCCGAGCGUUGUUCGGAUUCACUGGGCGUAAAGGGUGCGUAGGCGGCUUUGCAAGUCUGAUGUGAAAUCUCCGGGCCCAACCCGGAAAUGGCAUUAGAAACUGCAGGGCUAGAGGCUUGGAGGGGGAACUGGAAUGCUCGGUGUAGCAGUGAAAUGCGUAGAGAUCGAGCGGAACACCAGUGGCGAAGGCGAGUUCCUGGACAAGUCCUGACGCUGAGGCACGAAAGCCAGGGGAGCAAACAGG